RNAcentral lists this ribosomal RNA (477 nucleotides) under uncultured bacterium. RNAcentral's name for it is "partial 16S ribosomal RNA". It matches the Rfam family "Bacterial small subunit ribosomal RNA", at positions 28 to 507 of the family's 1533-position model. The record is from RNAcentral.
GAUUAACGCUGGCGGCGUGCAUAACACAUGCAAGUCGAACGAUGAAACUUAAAUGAUUUCUUCGGAAUGAACUUAAGUGGAUUAGUGGCGGACGGGUGAGUAACGCGUGAGUAACCUGCCUUACACAAGGGGAUAGCCGUUGGAAACGACGAAUAAUACCCUAUGAAACUACCACUUCGCAUGAAGCGAUAGUCAAAGUGUUAGCGGUGUAAGAUGGACUUGCGUCUGAUUAGCUAGUUGGUGAGAAAAAAGCCCACCAAGGCAACGAUCAGUAGCCGGCUUGAGAGAGUGUACGGCCACAUUGGGACUGAGACACGGCCCAGACUCCUACGGGAGGCAGCAGUGGGGAAUUUUGCACAAUGGGGGAAACCCUGAUGCAGCGACGCCGCGUGAUUUAGAAGGCCUUCGGGUUGUAAAAAUCUUUUGUAUAGGAAGAAAAUGACAGUACUAUACGAAUAAGGUCCGGCUAAUUACGUG